GAAUUAAAUAAAUUUAAGCUUCUAACUUAAUUAUUAGCAUUUAUGUUAUUAAUUCU
This 56-nucleotide transfer RNA is filed under the name Pselaphinae sp. 7 EF-2015. RNAcentral's name for it is "tRNA-Ser". The record is from RNAcentral. Lineage: Eukaryota; Metazoa; Arthropoda; Insecta; Coleoptera; Staphylinidae.